This 484-nucleotide ribosomal RNA is filed under the name uncultured bacterium. RNAcentral's name for it is "partial 16S ribosomal RNA". It matches the Rfam family "Bacterial small subunit ribosomal RNA", at positions 30 to 507 of the family's 1533-position model. The record is from RNAcentral.
AUUGAACGCUGGCGGCAGGCCUAACACAUGCAAGUCGAGCGGAUGAAGGGAGCUUGCUCCUGGAUUCAGCGGCGGACGGGUGAGUAAUUCCUAGGAAUCUGCCUGGUAGUGGGGGAUAACGUCCGGAAACGGGCGCUAAUACCGCAUACGUCCUGAGGGAGAAAGUGGGGGAUCUUCGGACCUCACGCUAUCAGAUGAGCCUAGGUCGGAUUAGCUAGUUGGUGGGGUAAAGGCCUACCGAGGCGACGAUCCGUAACUGGUCUGAGAGGAUGAUCAGUCACACUGGAACUGAGACACGGUCCAGACUCCUACGGGAGGCAGCAGUGGGGAAUAUUGGACAAUGGGCGAAAGCCUGAUCCAGCCAUGCCGCGUGUGUGAAGAAGGUCUUCGGAUUGUAAAGCACUUUAAGUUGGGAGGAAGGGCAGUAAGUUAAUACCUUGCUGUUUUGACGUUACCAACAGAAUAAGCACCGGCUAACUUCGUG